GGUGGAUGUUUGGUUAGGAAGAGAGUGUUGGAUUUGAGCUCCGCCGGGCUGUUAAGAUGUUGUCCAUGAUGGUUGGCAACUUGGCAUGGUUGGUUACAAAGAGAAUUUGAGAUUGUGUGCUUGAUGUGUUUACAGUUCUGCUAAUGAGGGUGCCUUCUGAUAGGGGGUGUCUGCUGUUAGCUUCUUGCUGUGAGAUUCGGUUAUCUGGUGUCCAUGCUUUAGGCUUUCAUUCUGUGUCUUUGCAUGUUGACGAACUACUCCUGAAUGCGUUUCACGCUUGCUAUGCUCAUCUGGUCUGCUUGUUUUUGCUUGCCACCUUCAGCUAUUAUGUUAUGUUAGUUCUCUGCUUUAGUGAUUAUCUGCACUUCUCAAUUACAGACUUCAUUGCUUCUACAUAUGGUUUCUCUGUUUAUUAAUUUGCCUUGCUUUCUUUCAUGGUCCUUACUUUCUGUUUGGCAGCUUGUUUCAGUUACAACUGAGUUCUUGGGUUCCACUUUGUUGUUGGAAACUACUUACUGGUGGAGCUGCUGCUCGGUUCAUAGGGUAAGUCGUGCCUUGCUAUGUUUCCUAUUGCUUGCUAUUUAGUUGUGUUUAUUACUAUUUAUUUCAUAGGCUUCUGUGUUCUUCCCUUUGUAUGGUCUGUGUUGGUAUUUUUCCGGUUGCUCCUUAAUAAUUAAUUAUUACAGGCAUGUUUAUUAUCAGUUCUUCCUGUGUGCCUCUGCUUGAGGCUGUUGCGGGCUAUUGUCGAUUGCCGUUUCAUUCUUAUGUUCGAGAGGUGGCAUCCGAUGGUUGUUUGCUUGGAGGGGUGGAGAUUGAUGUUCUUACUAGGGAUGACGUGGUGCGGUGUCAAACCAAUUUUUACAAGGGAUAUAUGGGUCUGUUGUUGCAAAUUACAAUUACGAUAGCAUGUUAGCGUAUAAAGGUGUUGCGCAGUCGGUUCUGGUGCUUGCAGGUGCGCUUGCCCAGCCUGCCUGGCCUCUGGUACAUGCAGGCGGGCAGGUUGAUGUCGCUGGUAUAAAUACAAGUGUUCAAUUACAAUUAUUGUAUUCACAGCUGGUCAAUUCAGUGUCUGGGUUCUAAAGCCCGUCUAGGAGUGUCUUAGAUAGACUAUGUCUGGUCAUUAUAUUGUUCCCUUGGGUAUGCUUGUAAUAAACAGCUCUUUGUAUGCAUGAAUCAUUAUUAUUUCAUUUAAUUGGCUCUACUGUCUCUUGUGCUCCUGUUUGAUACUUUUUUGCAUUUACCUGUGCUGUCUUUACUUCGCUUCCGUCUUAAUAUGCAGUAUUUGCAUAUAUGUGUGCUCAUUGUUGAUGAUGGCUCGCCGUCGGAGUGUUUUGCAUGCUCCUGUUGUUGGUGUUUGUGGUAUUCGUAAGAGAAAGGGUAUGUUGUCUAUAUGGUCAUUUCCUUAGGAUUUUUUUGGCUUGCAUCUGUUCAUUUGUGUCGGUUCUGUCGUUUUCUAGGGGAUGCCUGGUUCCCAGUGCUCACUCCUGCCAUGUCGGCUAGAAAUCGGAAGAGGCGUAAAUUACUUAGGGGCCUUCGUUGCCAUGGUGUUACAUGUACUGGUCUUCUUGGUCGGGGUUCCUGUCUUUCCGUCCUUAGUAUCUUUGUUUUGGUUGUUGUUUCUCAUAACAACAUGCAUGUAGAUCUUCGGUUUGAAGGGGACUUGCCAACUGAUUGGACUGGUUUUCCUGUCGAGGUAGUUGACAAUCGCAAAGGUACUAACUAUUAGGUUGAUGUUAGUUUGUUUUUUCCUUUUCCUGUCAUGACGGCCUCCUUGAGUAUUGUGUUUUCUGUAGUUUCCUAUAAGGACAUAUCUUACUAUGGUCCUCCUGAGUACCAGUGCCCUCACUGCAAGGCUUCUUUUUGGUUUGAGGAGAGGGCCAAUCCAUAUUCUUCAUGGGUGCUACGUAAAAUUGUUUAUAACCUUUGUUGCAAAGGUGGAAAAGUCAUUGUUAAACCUUUCAGAAACCCUCCUGCUUUAUUGAGUCGUUUAUUAUCCUGUCAUGGUGACCGUGUUUCCAAGCAAUUCCUGACAAAGAUACGGCAUCACAGUUGGACGUUUGCAUUUACGUCUAUUGUGGCGACGUCAUUCGUUCGCUGGAAGGCACGCGGGGGUUAAUAUCUUCAAAAUUUGUGGUCAGGUCCAUCAUCUUAUUGGUUCUCUUUUGCCGAUGAAAACGAUUGUGCCAUCCAGCCAUACCAUUGGUCGGCGUUACUACCAGGAGAACUUUCAGGAUGGUCUUACAAUUUGUCGAGUGGAUGAGGCCCCUGAUACUUUUACUAUUUUUACAUGUAGUCCAAUGUGGCUUGAGAUUACUAAGGUGAAGCUUAACGAAUAUCUAGAUGAAAUCCAGUCAGGCCAUGCCUAUG
RNAcentral lists this long non-coding RNA (2367 nucleotides) under Triticum aestivum (bread wheat). RNAcentral's name for it is "long non-coding RNA (TAES_LNC013709)". Lineage: Eukaryota; Viridiplantae; Streptophyta; Magnoliopsida; Poales; Poaceae. The record is from RNAcentral.